Molecule: long non-coding RNA, 501 nt
Organism: Tribolium castaneum (red flour beetle)
Lineage: Eukaryota; Metazoa; Arthropoda; Insecta; Coleoptera; Tenebrionidae
Exons: 3
Source: RefSeq, a predicted model, not a curated record
AACAAGGACCUAGCGUCUGUGCUAUGACCUCGGGGCAUGUUUGUUCGGUACCAGGGUGUACCAACAAGCAUGCACCCAUGUUCAGGUUUCCCAACCCUAAGAGAGGGUUGGACAUCUGUUUGAGAUGGAGGCAGGCCGUCAAUAAUCCAAAGUGGCCUGAAUUGUCGGACUGUCGUCUCAACAGAAUUGCGCGUGUUUGUUAUAAACAUUUUAUAGACGACGAUUUCCUGUCCGGGACCAGACGUUUAACCCGUUUUGCUGUUCCUUCCCUCAACUUACCAACAGGUCGUCGGGACAGUACACCAAGUCCAAGACCGUUGGAGUUGGGGCAGUCAUCUCCAUCCGAGGUGUCACUUCAACCCAAGUUUGUUACUCCCACAAAAGAGUUUCCUUUUUGGCUAGGAGCAGUGGGAGUGACACCCAGGAAGAGAGAGACACCUAUGAAAGGAAAUGUACCUGCAAAACGUGAGAUUUUCGUUGAAGAAAAAUAAAAUUUUAUUA